AUGUCAUAUGGAGGUCGGCUAGUCCUGAUUAACUCAGUACUGACUAGUAUGCCGAUGUUCUUACUUUCGUUCUUCGAAAUUCCGAAAGGGGUUCGGAAGCGAGUUGAUUUCUUUAGAUCUCGUUUCUUCUGGCAGUCUGAUGAGGCCAAGAGGAAAUACCGUCUCGCGAGAUGGGACAUCCUUUGCCGACCUAAAGACCAAGGGGGUCUCGGUAUUGAGAACUUAGAAAUUAAGAAUAAAUGUCUUAUGAGUAAGUGGUUAUACAGGCUAGAGACUGAGCCGGAGGGUAUGUGGUCACAAAUCUUGCGCAAUAAGUAUUUACACUCAAAGACACUAGCUCAGGUUACCAUGCGACCGACUGACUCGCCGUUCUGGAAGGGACUUAUGAGAACAAAGGACUUGUUCUUUCGUAGGGUCAAAUUCUUAGUGGGCAAUGGGAUGUCAACAAGAUUUUGGGAGGAUACAUGGUUAGGAGAGACGCCCCUGGCCGUUCAAUACUCCACCCUAUAUAAUAUUGUGCAAUGUAAGGAGGAUUACGUAGGCACAGUACUUCAAACCAUUCCCUUAAACAUCCAGUUCGGACAGGUGUUAGUUGGUGAGAGAUGGACCACCUGGAUGCAUUUAGUUUGGAGACUGAUAGACGUUCAACUCUCCGACCAACCGGAUGCGUCACAAUGA
RNAcentral lists this ribosomal RNA (678 nucleotides) under Triticum aestivum (bread wheat). RNAcentral's name for it is "partial small subunit ribosomal RNA". Lineage: Eukaryota; Viridiplantae; Streptophyta; Magnoliopsida; Poales; Poaceae. The record is from RNAcentral.